AACCCCGUGUCUCUUUAUUCAUGUUUGUUUCUGUCCCAGUACUUGGUGGAUAGAGGGACUUCAUGAGAUUCAUAGUAAGAGUUGAGUCAAAUAACAAAAACAAAUGCCUGUAAUAAUAUUUAAAGGGAUCUCUCUGCUUAUUUGUUGGUGACUUUUUUCAUUACAAAAACUACCCUGGUUGCUCAUCUUUAUGGGUGUUGUGUCUGCGCAAUACUAUAAGGCCAUUGUUGAGCCAGCAAGAAGUCCCAGCUUCGAAAGAUACUCAUUUGUGAUCCCUGUGAGAGGAAUCGUGCAACUAAAAAUCUCGCCCAUCACUUGCCUCGGAAUCACAGGUGUACUCAGCGCUUAGAUAAAGAAGAGUUAAGAAAUCAUCAAUAGCGAGUCCAGUUUUGUCCCAGGCUUUUUCAGAUCCAGGCCAGCUGGCCUUGGUGGAAUAUGGGUGUGGGACCUGCAAAGGCCUCAGUUACUACCACCAAGAGGCUGGUGAAGCAUCGUCUGGACCUGGUCUGGUUUACUGCAGAGAAGACUUUUCAACUCCAGGUGGUGGAACACACAGACA
Alexandromys fortis (reed vole) is the source of this 559-nucleotide long non-coding RNA. RefSeq lists it as uncharacterized. The record is from RefSeq and is a predicted model, not a curated record. NCBI's taxonomy places the organism in Eukaryota, Metazoa, Chordata, Mammalia, Rodentia, Cricetidae. The transcript is spliced from 3 exons.